This 497-nucleotide ribosomal RNA is filed under the name uncultured bacterium. RNAcentral's name for it is "partial 16S ribosomal RNA". It matches the Rfam family "Bacterial small subunit ribosomal RNA", at positions 28 to 507 of the family's 1533-position model. The record is from RNAcentral.
GAUGAACGCUGGCGGCGUGCCUAAUGCAUGCAAGUCGAGCGAACGGACGAGAAGCUUGCUUCUCUAAUGUUAGCGGCGGACGGGUGAGUAACACGUGGAUAACCUACCUAUAAGACUGGGAUAACUUCGGGAAACCGUAGCUAAUACCGGAUAAUAUUUUGAACCGCAUGGUUCAAAAGUGAAAGACGGUCUUGCUGUCACUUAUAGAUGGAUCCGCGCUGCAUUAGCUAGUUGGUAAGGUAACGGCUUACCAAGGCAACGAUGCAUAGCCGACCUGAGAGGGUGAUCGGCCACACUGGAACUGAGACACGGUCCAGACUCCUACGGGAGGCAGCAGUAGGGAAUCUUCCGCAAUGGGCGAAAGCCUGACGGAGCAACGCCGAGUGAGUGAUGAAGGUCUUCGGAUCGUAAAACUCUGUUAUUAGGGAAGAACAUAUGUGUAAGUAACUGUGCACAUCUUGACGGUACCUAAUCAGAAAGCCACGGCUAACUACGUG